This 256-nucleotide ribosomal RNA is filed under the name uncultured bacterium. RNAcentral's name for it is "partial 16S ribosomal RNA". It matches the Rfam family "Bacterial small subunit ribosomal RNA", at positions 524 to 776 of the family's 1533-position model. The record is from RNAcentral.
UACGUAGGAUGCAAGCGUUGUCCGGAUUUACUGGGCGUAAAGCGUGUGCAGGCGGAUGAUCAGGUAGAUUGUGAAAGCCCCCCGGCUUAACUGGGGAGGGUCAGUCUAAACCGGUCGUCUGGAAGCAGACAGAGGAGUAGGGAAUUCCCGGUGUAGUGGUGAAAAUGCGUAGAUAUCGGGAGGAACACCAGCGGCGAAGGCGCUACUCUGGGUCUGGCUUGACGCUCAGACACGAAGGCGAGGGGGAGCGAACAGG